This 557-nucleotide unclassified non-coding RNA is filed under the name Hevea brasiliensis (rubber tree). Lineage: Eukaryota; Viridiplantae; Streptophyta; Magnoliopsida; Malpighiales; Euphorbiaceae. The record is from RNAcentral.
CCCCCCCUAUAUGUCUAAUAUAUUCAUCUUUGCUGAUCCUAUCAAUCAACGAUUGAGCCAGCAUAAGAAGAAUAAAGGUUGGGGUUUUAUGUCAAGCCAUAAGGGUACCCCCGCUUAAAUGUGUUUCUGACUCUUAUUCUUUGAACUUAGAUAUACAUGCAACUGUUUAAUUGUAUAUGCGAAGAUUCUGUUUUUUUUAUUGUAUCUUAUGUGAUGUAUUUAUUAUUUAUGCUCAUCUUUUCUUUUGUAUAUACAACAAGUACAUUUGUGCAUCAUGUCUCUACAUGUGUGUAUGACAUCAUAUCUAUCAUCGUUUUAUUUACAUGUUGGUAUGGUUAAAUCUAAAUUCAGAGUUGUGUAUAUAUACACACAUUUGUCAUUCAUAUAAAAAAUAAUAAGAUAAAUCGCUUUGGCCCGCCCAAGAAUUCUUGGCUCUGCCACUGCCAUCAGAUGCAUUUGAUCCUCAUUCCUCACUGUUGUGUCACUGUUCAUAUAUUAUCCCUGGUUGAUGUCUUCGCAGGGCAAGCAUAGAGCCCAAUUUUCAUGACUUGUACUUG